Molecule: ribosomal RNA, 393 nt
Filed under: uncultured bacterium
Lineage: Bacteria
Description: partial 16S ribosomal RNA
Rfam family: Bacterial small subunit ribosomal RNA
Source: RNAcentral
AUACGGAGGAUGCGAGCGUUAUCCGGAUUUAUUGGGUUUAAAGGGAGCGUAGGUGGGAUAUUAAGUCAGCUGUGAAAGUUUGGGGCUCAACCUUAAAAUUGCAGUUGAUACUGGUUUCCUUGAGUACGGUACAGGUGGGCGGAAUUCGUGGUGUAGCGGUGAAAUGCUUAGAUAUCACGAAGAACUCCGAUCGCGAAGGCAGCUCACCGGGCCGGAACUGACACUGAUGCUCGAAAGUGCGGGUAUCAAACAGGAUUAGAUACCCUGGUAGUCCGCACAGUAAACGAUGAAUACUGGAUGUUUGCGAUACAAUGUAAUCGGCUGAGCGAAAGCGUUAAGUAAUCCACCUGGGGAGUACGUUCGCAAGAAUGAAACUCAAAUGAAUUGACGGGG